Molecule: ribosomal RNA, 465 nt
Filed under: Vreelandella stevensii
Lineage: Bacteria; Pseudomonadati; Pseudomonadota; Gammaproteobacteria; Oceanospirillales; Halomonadaceae
Description: partial 16S ribosomal RNA
Rfam family: Bacterial small subunit ribosomal RNA
Source: RNAcentral
CCUACGGGGUGCUGCAGUGGGGAAUAUUGGACAAUGGGCGAAAGCCUGAUCCAGCCAUGCCGCGUGUGUGAAGAAGGCCUUCGGGUUGUAAAGCACUUUCAGUGGGGAAGAAAGCCUUGGGGCUAAUACCCUCGAGGAAGGACAUCACCCACAGAAGAAGCACCGGCUAACUCCGUGCCAGCAGCCGCGGUAAUACGGAGGGUGCGAGCGUUAAUCGGAAUUACUGGGCGUAAAGCGCGCGUAGGCGGUCUGAUAAGCCGGUUGUGAAAGCCCCGGGCUCAACCUGGGAACGGCAUCCGGAACUGUCAGGCUAGAGUGCAGGAGAGGAAGGUAGAAUUCCCGGUGGAGCGGUGAAAUGCGUAGAGAUCGGGAGGAAUACCAGUGGCGAAGGCGGCCUUCUGGACUGACACUGACGCUGAGGUGCGAAAGCGUGGGUAGCAAACAGGAUUAGAUACCCUUGUAGUC